AGUUACCAGAUAUCAUUAGUAUCUGUCAGUACAGAAUUCAGAAAACCCAGUCGUUGUACAGUUCAGUUAAUCAUGUUCAGAGUCUAUUCAGUUGGGAGUAUGAAUUAGCACCGAGUGAACCCAAGGAUGGGAACAUAUGCUAUCAGAUGAGGGUGUGAUUCUCAGCAAUCAUCCUUACAUUCUAGAACUAUAUAGCCAGCAUAGGUUGAGACAUCAACACUAUCAGAUAAGGGUUGAUGAGGUGGACAAACACUGUCAGAUGAGGGUCCCACUAUUCUCUUUUUGGGGACAGUAUCAGAUAACAGUCACCCACAGCUUGUCCUUACAAGUAGCGCGAUAUUGACACCCUUCCAAUCGGGGUUACAGAUUGGACCCCAACUCAUCCAUAAUGGCAUAUUAGGGGCAUGUCGGUUAGAUAACUACUUUCCACAGUUUCAGCUCAGAACUGUUAGAUACAUUCAUUCAGUCUCAGUAAUAGAACUCAGAUAGUUCUACAGAAUUCAAUAUUAUCAGAUAUAGUCAACUCAGAACAAAAUGGAAAUCAGCUAGUUCCAUCAGAUUCAGGACUGUCGAUACAGUCAUUCAUGUUAUCAGUUAUAUCAGUCAUGUUAGCUGUCAAUAAAUUCAUGCCAUCACGAUCUCAGAUAUAGUUACUACAUAUUUAUACAUGUAUUCUCACGUUCAUAUUAGUCAGUUAGUCAGUAUUAUUCAUGCAUAUGAACCCCAUGCAUUCAGCCUACCUCACAUGCAUACCAGUACAUUCAAAGUACUAACGUAUUUGCGCUAUGGUGUCUUAUACCAUAGGUUCCAAAGCAUGAGCUCUAGUGCAUCAAGAGAUUUCAGAUAUCAGUAAUCAGUUAGCAGUGAGUCCUCAUCCUUCGAGGAUAUGAUUAUUUCUUUAUUAUCUCAUUAAGUAAUUUAUUAGUUGGAGUUAGUUGGGGACAGUCCCAUCAAAUCCUUAUUCAGAUAGUUUAGUUAGUUAGAGUCUUUGCAGACUAUAAUGUUCAUACUAUCAUGUUUAGAUAGUUUUUUUUUAGGUAUUUAUACCCCAUCCCAGAUGUUAUGUUCUAUGGUGAUUUAUCAGUUUUGAACCUUAUCACCUUUUGGUUCAUGUUUCCGCAUUUAUUCAUUAUAUUAUGCAGUGUAUAGGUACAGAUAUCAGUCAUGGGUUAGCUUGUGGUCCUUCGGGGUCAUUAGCACUGUGUAGCAUUUCGGGUACCAGAUUAGGGGCAUUACAUUGAGAAUAGCAGCGAAGAAAAUUUAAACGUGACCUUCUUUCGACAAGUAUAUAUUUCAUUAUUUCCCCUCAAUUAAUAAAAUCAUACAUAAGACAAAACACAAUCUGUAAAGAUGACACAUAACACGGAUUUUAAUUUGCUUAGCCAAUUUAUUUUAACAUUAGUAUGAUUUCAACUAUAGUGCAGCAGAUCCUCUGCUAGAAUCUCAAUUAGGUAGAUUUGGAAAAUUCAAAAAAAGAACAUGUAGUUUAAAACACCCAAAAACAUCCUCAUAUUAGUAUACUUAGAACAUGUUUUCUAUAUGAAAUCUGGGAGGCAAGAAAUAAAGAAAAUAACAUUUUGAUUAAGAGGAUAAAGUUGUUUUCACUUUAGAAUCUUAGAUAAGUAAAUUUGAUCCCAAAUUCAAGCCUACACUACAAUACCCCAAAAACAUCUCGACAAUGGAUGAAAAUCCUCUUCGAAACAGCAAACUUUUAAAGCAAAAAUAGAGCAUUAGUAUGUGCCUUUAGGCAUAUCUUAGAAGGGAGGAACAAAAAUAGAGCAUGAGUUUCAAAACCAAAAGGCUACAAUCCACACUACUCAUGUGUUGACAUGUUUUCUCAAAUAUAAAAACACUCCCAAAGUCUUAAUACUACUAGUCACAAUAGAUUCAUAUGGGCAUUACUACAAACACAAACAUAAAUUUUAACAUGAAAACUAGAUCUGAAUACACAUAACCUUAAUAACAAAAAAGAGGAUUGAGAAUGUUAUAGCAUAUCCCUCAUAGAGGCAACAAUAGGACAUACGAAAAAAGAAAAAUAAGAUGAAGAAGGGAAAAAUUUGCAUGUUACAAGGAAGUGAACUGGAGGACUUUAGAUCAUAAAACCACACUCAAACUUUAUGAUUUCUUACUCAAAUCAUGCAAAGAAUAUCAAAAUUCAGAGAGAAAAGGGAGGAUCGAACGUUUGUGAAAAAAGUUGUUUGUUAUGUAUUGAAGCCUAGAAUUCAUGGAUUCCUUCAACUACCCCCCAAGGCUCCCUCAUCUCCUUAUAUUUAUAGUGAGAAGGGUUUUUGGGUGGGAUUUUGGGUGCCAUUUGAAUUUGAACAUUUGAGAGAUGGAAGCCAACUUACACAAUUUUGCUCUCUGAUUUUUCUUGCCUUGACUAAAUUCUUUAUUCUUUGGUCAAGGUCGUAAUCAAGAUUUUCUCAAAAUGGAGUGCCUCCUACUGCUAUGAGGCAAUUUGAAGAGAUUUGCAGUGCAAAAUGGAAUUGUCUACACCAAAACUGAGAAGAGGCAGGGAGAUUGUUUAUUCAAAAUAGGGCACGCAAUUUUUUUGAUAAAGAAGAUUUUGAGUUCAAACUUUCCUCAAAAUGGGAGGAAAUGACAAAACUCCCUGCCAUAGCAGGGAGUAAGAUAGAGACGAGAGAGAAUAAGAAUAAGGUGUAGCUGAGGAAUAUUUACAAUAUUCUAGGGCUUCAAGAUUAUUGUAGGUAUUUUGAGUAAGUAAAUUAAGGGUAUUUGGGGUUAUGGUAAAUGGGAUAUUAGAG
RNAcentral lists this long non-coding RNA (2765 nucleotides) under Capsicum annuum. Its description in RNAcentral is "long non-coding RNA (CANN_LNC016025)". The record is from RNAcentral. Lineage: Eukaryota; Viridiplantae; Streptophyta; Magnoliopsida; Solanales; Solanaceae.